Molecule: ribosomal RNA, 481 nt
Filed under: uncultured bacterium
Lineage: Bacteria
Description: partial 16S ribosomal RNA
Rfam family: Bacterial small subunit ribosomal RNA
Source: RNAcentral
GACGAACGCUGGCGGCGUGCUUAACACAUGCAAGUCGAACGAUGAUCCGGUUUCGGCCGGGGAUUAGUGGCGAACGGGUGAGUAACACGUGGGCAAUCUGCCCUGCACUCUGGGACAAGCCCUGGAAACGGGGUCUAAUACCGGAUACGACCUCCAACUGCAUGGUUGGUGGUGGAAAGCGUUUAGUGGUGCAGGAUGAGCCCGCGGCCUAUCAGCUUGUUGGUGGGGUGAUGGCCUACCAAGGCGACGGCGGGUAGCCGGCCUGAGAGGGCGACCGGCCACACUGGGACUGAGACACGGCCCAGACUCCUACGGGAGGCAGCAGUGGGGAAUAUUGCACAAUGGGCGGAAGCCUGAUGCAGCGACGCCGCGUGAGGGAUGACGGCCUUCGGGUUGUAAACCUCUUUCAGCAGGGAAGAAGCGAGAGUGACGGUACCUGCAGAAGAAGCACCGGCUAACUACGUGCCAGCCGCCGCAGUAA